CGGGGGGAGCAAGCGUUGUUCGGAUUUACUGGGCGUAAAGGGCGCGUAGGCGGCCACCGCAAGUCAGUUGUGAAAUCUCUGGGCUUAACCCAGAAAGGUCAACUGAUACUGCGGGGCUAGAGUGCAGAAGGGGCAACUGGAAUUCUCGGUGUAGCGGUGAAAUGCGUAGAUAUCGAGAGGAACACCUGCGGCGAAGGCGGGUUGCUGGGCUGACACUGACGCUGAGGCGCGAAAGCUAGGGGAGCGAACGGGAUUAGAUACCCCGGUAGUCCUAGCCUUAAACGAUGAAUGCUUGGUGUCUGGGGUUAUAUAGUCCCCGGGUGCCGUCGCUAACGCUUUAAGCAUUCCGCCUGGGGAGUACGGUCGCAAGACUG
This 374-nucleotide ribosomal RNA is filed under the name uncultured organism. Its description in RNAcentral is "bacterial SSU rRNA". It matches the Rfam family "Bacterial small subunit ribosomal RNA", at positions 526 to 896 of the family's 1533-position model. The record is from RNAcentral.